GCCGGGCGUGGUGGCGGGCGCCUGUAGUCCCAGCUACUUGGGAGGCUGAGGCAGGGGAAUCGCUUGAACCCGGGAGGCAGAAGUUGCAGUGAGCCAAGAUCAUGCCACUGCACUCCAGCCUGGGUGACAGAGAAAGACUCUGUCUCAA
Molecule: non-coding RNA, 148 nt
Filed under: Gorilla gorilla gorilla (western lowland gorilla)
Lineage: Eukaryota; Metazoa; Chordata; Mammalia; Primates; Hominidae
Source: Rfam by way of RNAcentral